RNAcentral lists this ribosomal RNA (253 nucleotides) under uncultured bacterium. RNAcentral describes it as "partial 16S ribosomal RNA". It matches the Rfam family "Bacterial small subunit ribosomal RNA", at positions 524 to 776 of the family's 1533-position model. The record is from RNAcentral.
UACGUAUGGAGCAAGCGUUAUCCGGAUUUAUUGGGUUUAAAGGGAGCGUAGGCCGGAGAUUAAGCGUGUUGUGAAAUGUAGACGCUCAACGUCUGCACUGCAGCGCGAACUGGUUUCCUUGAGUACGCACAAAGUGGGCGGAAUUCGUGGUGUAGCGGUGAAAUGCUUAGAUAUCACGAAGAACUCCGAUUGCGAAGGCAGCUGACUGUAUCGUAACUGACGCUGAAGCUCGAAAGUGCGGGUAUCGAACAGG